CUAUUACUCCCUCCGUCCGAGAAAGUUUGUCCCUCAAAUGGAUGUAUCUAGCACCAAAUUAGUCUAGAUACAUCCAUUUAAGGGACAAGUCUGGGACAAGUUUUUUCGGACAGAGGGAAUAUAUG
Triticum aestivum (bread wheat) is the source of this 125-nucleotide non-coding RNA. Lineage: Eukaryota; Viridiplantae; Streptophyta; Magnoliopsida; Poales; Poaceae. The record is from Rfam.